Non-coding RNA from Saimiri boliviensis boliviensis (Bolivian squirrel monkey), 732 nucleotides. The record is from RefSeq and is a predicted model, not a curated record. Lineage: Eukaryota; Metazoa; Chordata; Mammalia; Primates; Cebidae.
CCAGCCACCCUGCACCUUCGACCAUCAAGGAGGCUGGGGUGGCCUCGGGGCAAUGCCAGGUGAGACCUCAGGUGAGCUGCUGCACCCCCCCAGUGCUUGGGGCAGGGGAAGGGAGGUGGGCCUGGGCCAGACUCGAUAGCCCUUCCCUGGCACAGGCCUGGCCUCCGUUCUCCCUGAUCCCUGCCCACGUGGUGGCUGCAAAAACAAGACACCAAGGCAUCCACACUGGGUGACAGUGCUAGGCCGGCCUGGAGGGGGCAGGCCUGUCCAGCAUGGGGACGGCAGCCGGGAAGAGCCCAUCAUCGCCUCCCAGCUCUGCCCUGAAGACUCUCCCGCCAAGAAACUGGCUACCCCUCCCCCACCUGCCUCGCUGCUGUCCUGGAGCCACACUGCCCCCUGCUGGGGAAGGCAGGUUUCUGGAGACCUGCCGAGCUCUUGGGGCUGCACCUGCCUGGUUGGCUCCAGUCACUGUAGGGGUGAGAUCCAAGACCAGUGUCGGGGCAGCUGGGCAGGACAGGACCCGGACAGCCCAGGGGGAGGCCCCAGCAGGCCCACCCCCUCACCCCUCUGUGCUCAACUCCCUGUUGGCACAACAGCCAGGACUGACCAUCAGGCUCCAGAGGCCCGCUGUCCCCAGGUCCUCAGGAGGGCCACCCUCCCACCAGCAGCUCUUCCUAGCCAGCAUUGCCCAUCCGUCUGUCUGUGUGUUUUGAAUGCUCAAGAUUUUUUCAA